This is a non-coding RNA of Crucibulum laeve, 93 nucleotides long. The record is from the annotation of a GenBank genome assembly. NCBI's taxonomy places the organism in Eukaryota, Fungi, Basidiomycota, Agaricomycetes, Agaricales, Nidulariaceae.
GCCCGCCUAGCUCAAUCGGAUAGAGCGUCAGACUCUUAUCCAUGAACCAGCGGGACAAUCUGAAGGCUGGGGUUUCGACCCCCCCGGUGGGCU